AAUAUUUCGCAAUGGAGGGAACUCUGACGCAGCGACGCCGCGUGUUUGAUUAUGGNCUNNGGCUCNUNAAGCUCUUUCCUUGGNNNNNACGAUCUUCGGAUUUGACGGUACCCAAGGUGUAAGCCCCGGCUAACUACGUGCCAGCAGCCGCGGUAAUACCUAGGGGGCAAGCGUUGUCCGGAAUUAUUGGGCGUAAAGGGUUCGUAGGCGUCCUUUUAAGUCAGAUGUGAAAGACCACGGCCUAACCGUGGGGUUGCAUUUGAAACUGGAGGGCUUGAGUAUCGGAGAGGGUAGUGGAAUUCCCAGUGUAGCGGUGGAAUGCGUAGAUAUUGGGAGGAGCACCAGUGGCGAAGGCGACUACCUGGACGAAAACUGACGCUGAUGCACGAAAGCUAGGGGAGCAAACA
This 407-nucleotide ribosomal RNA is filed under the name uncultured bacterium. Its description in RNAcentral is "partial 16S ribosomal RNA". It matches the Rfam family "Bacterial small subunit ribosomal RNA", at positions 360 to 774 of the family's 1533-position model. The record is from RNAcentral.